Vespula pensylvanica (western yellowjacket) is the source of this 1734-nucleotide long non-coding RNA. RefSeq lists it as uncharacterized. The record is from RefSeq and is a predicted model, not a curated record. The transcript is spliced from 2 exons. NCBI's taxonomy places the organism in Eukaryota, Metazoa, Arthropoda, Insecta, Hymenoptera, Vespidae.
AUACAUAAUCUCAGGAUCUGAAACGUCCUGCGAUAAAAUCGUGUUUCCUUCGAUCGAGAGUCGAGAAAGAGAGAAGGGGAAGGGCUCGCUUAAGGUUCAGCCAACACGGAAGAAACGUCGAUAUCUCGCGAAGAUAAGGAAACAAGGAAGGAUAUUAAGCCGCGAACUGGCACGAUUCAAUCUCGAUCGUUGAGAAACGAACUUAAUCGAGCUCGGGACACGUUGACAUUGCUACCGUUGCUGCCGUUGCUAUUGCUACUAUUUCUGCCGUUACUCUCUUGCCGAAUUGCGUUAUAAAUUUCAUAUCGGCAGAUAUAAAAGCCUGGCAGAAUCGAUCGGAAGCCGCGUGAAUUUCGUUUCUAGUUGGAGUAUUGGAUUUGUUGCAGGCUGCCGUACGCUCUCCGGUUAUAUGUCCUCGUCUACUACGUCAUCGAUCGAUUUAAUGCGUUUCCGUCCGGAAUUAUUUCGGGAAUAUCAAACGCAACGGCGGUCGUCCGGGAUACAAGGUACGAGUGAAAUACACCGUCUAUAGGCGCAUCUACCUUCGAAGAGGGAGAGAAGGCGUCUUUGAGAAAAGAAAAGGAAUCGUUAACGACCUCAGUAGAGAAAGUAUGGGAAGGAGGGAAAGAGAGGACGUUAAUUAACCGACUAUCGAAGACUAAUUCACGGGGACUAGAUUCUUUGGCAAGUGAGGAUAUAGCGGAAAGAAAAUAUAGGAAGGAAUACGUUGCUCGAUGACUGUGUUUUAUUUCGAAAAGGGAAGACAAGGAAAAACUUUGGGACGGACGAUCAAGAGGCAAUGUCUUAAUCAGUCGUUGAUCGAGCAUGCAUUUGUAAAGACAUUUCCGAUCUUAUACGAGGCAUUGUCAAGAUUCUUUGAAAAACAAAUCGAUAUAUCGAUUCGCGCACGGUUAACUCGACGUUAAACCAAUUAAUUAGCCAUCGACCGAAGCCCCGAAAGAAUCGGAUCUUUGAAGAAAAAAAGUAAAACGAAAGGAACGUAGUGGGUACCUACGUGACUACGUACGAAUGGAAAGCGAGAAGAAGAAGGUUAAAUUUCUCUUGGAAAAAUCGCAGUGAGAGAUGCACUGAGAGAGACUGCGAGGGCAGAUUUCGUUCGCUCACGGAAGAAAAGGAGGAAGAAAAAGAAGAAGAAGAAGAAGAAGUAGAAGAAGGCAAACGCUCGCGAGCCGACGCAACCCCCUGUGCGUUUCCUACCCUUCAAGCGGAGCACCAUCUAUCCGAGUACACAAUAGUAGUAGCAGUGGUAGUAGUAGUAAUAGUAGUAGUAGUAAUGGUUGAGUACAAGGAUGAGAAGGAGCUAAAGGGAGAAGAAUGGUUCGCGAUAGUAGCUGACUAGGUGCGCAAGCGCGUGUCUCCGACUCUGUGCGCGAGCGCAUUGGCGGCUCGGCUCGGCUCGGCGUCGACGUCGACGUCGUUUUGCGAGAAAAUUGAUUCUGCGCGAAAGAGGAAUACCCAGAGAGCGAGAGAGAGAGAGAGAGAGAGAGAGAAAGCAAGAGGGAGAACGAGCCACCGACGAACCGGGGGUCUUCGCACGCUGACACAGAGACAAACUCGGAGCACGAAAGGACGACACUCUUUCGAGGACGAUCGACGAUCUCGCAUCGACAUAUUCUCCUUCUUUUCCUUCGUUCAAGAAAAUCCUCCGAAAGAUCUUCGUAUAUAUACCCUCCCUCUCUCUUUCUUUCUCUCUUUCUCUCUCUCUCUCUCUCU